CGUUAUAAAAGCGAAAACUCGGCCUGGGAUCGAGGCUACUUUACAUGCAAAAUGUUUACUGCAGGAGAUUCCAUGUGGCAUUCCAAAUAGAGCUCACCUGUCUGACAACAAGAUAGACCUGCCGCGCACGUCUACACAUAGAUAUUCCAAAGUUUUAGUCUUGGAUCUCUGAUGAUGCUCGUAUUUGGUGGGAGCAAUUUGAAUUUGGAAUUACCCCCUGGCCCUUGCUACAUCUCCAAGAAGUUUGUCAACUGGCCCAACUCCCAGCCUCAGGAUCAGCAGAUAUGAGCUGUGAUGCGCCUCAGAAUACCCAGCUUCAAGCUCUAUUUGCUGCAGAGAAUGAAGAGUGCAAUGUGUACACUGGGGCCUACCGAAAGCAAUCACGAACAGACGUUAGGGAGGUGCAGGAUUUAGCAGGUCUUAAGAUUGAUCAGUUGCUGGCAGUCAGAAGCUGUCCAAGCAGUAACAUCGAGCCAUGGAUUGCUCAAGUUCGAUCGAUCUCAGAUUCAGAGGUAUAGAGUUGUCUGGAUGGAAGGGAAAUACAACAGCAAAUGGAUAGUGGCAAGAAGACAGGAUCCAGAAAACAAGAAGAAGCGAAUUGAGUGGGAAGAUUCAGUCACGAAAUCCUCAAUACUCUUGUAUGAUUUCCAGUUACGUCCACCAGUCAUCUACGUAAAAAGACAAUAAAACAUUUAAAGAGUGUAUACCAAGAGCUAAAGCAAAGUAACACCUAAUGUUGUGUAUAUUUCAUGUUUAUGUGAUACAAAAUAUAUCUCUGUUAGCUUCUUCAAAUCUAGUAUGCUAAACAGAGUCAAUAAAAACAA
Molecule: long non-coding RNA, 824 nt
Organism: Halichondria panicea
Lineage: Eukaryota; Metazoa; Porifera; Demospongiae; Suberitida; Halichondriidae
Exons: 3
Source: RefSeq, a predicted model, not a curated record